This 92-nucleotide transfer RNA is filed under the name Candidatus Babelota bacterium. RNAcentral's name for it is "Candidatus Dependentiae bacterium tRNA-Ser". It matches the Rfam family "tRNA". From Rfam's summary of the family: Transfer RNA (tRNA) molecules are approximately 80 nucleotides in length. Their secondary structure includes four short double-helical elements and three loops (D, anti-codon, and T loops). Further hydrogen bonds mediate the characteristic L-shaped molecular structure. tRNAs have two regions of fundamental functional importance: the anti-codon, which is responsible for specific mRNA codon recognition, and the 3' end, to which the tRNAs corresponding amino acid is attached (by aminoacyl-tRNA synthetases). tRNAs cope with the degeneracy of the genetic code in two manners: having more than one tRNA (with a specific anti-codon) for a particular amino acid; and 'wobble' base-pairing, i.e. permitting non-standard base-pairing at the 3rd anti-codon position. RNAcentral also lists the same sequence under 1 other name. The record is from RNAcentral.
GGAGAGAUGGCUGAGUGGUCGAAAGCGGCUGCCUCGAAAGCGGUUAUUCCAUGAAAAUGGGGUCGGGGGUUCGAAUCCCUCUCUCUCCUCCA